GUCUAUGGCCAUGCUACCCUGCACAAGCCUGAUCCUGUCUGAUCUUGGAAGCCAAGCAGGGUCAGGCCUGGUUAGUAUUUGAAUGGCAGACCACCUAGGAAGACCAGGUGCUACAAGGCA
This is a ribosomal RNA of Pteropus vampyrus (large flying fox), 120 nucleotides long. Lineage: Eukaryota; Metazoa; Chordata; Mammalia; Chiroptera; Pteropodidae. The record is from Ensembl.